RNAcentral lists this ribosomal RNA (428 nucleotides) under uncultured bacterium. RNAcentral describes it as "bacterial SSU rRNA". It matches the Rfam family "Bacterial small subunit ribosomal RNA", at positions 354 to 796 of the family's 1533-position model. The record is from RNAcentral.
GUGGGGAAUAUUGGGCAAUGGGCGAAAGCCUGACCCAGCAACGCCGCGUGAGGGAUGAAUGUUUUCGGAUUGUAAACCUCUGUCCUCAGGGACGAAGGAAGUGACGGUACCUGAGGAGGAAGCCCCGGCUAACUACGUGCCAGCAGCCGCGGUAAUACGUAGGGGGCGAGCGUUGUCCGGAAUGACUGGGCGUAAAGGGCGCGUAGGCGGCUGUGUAAGUCUGGAGUGAAAGUCCUGCUUUUAAGGUGGGAAUUGCUUUGGAGACUGCAUGGCUUGAGUGCGGAAGAGGCAAGUGGAAUUCCCAGUGUAGCGGUGAAAUGCGUAGAGAUUGGGAAGAACACCAGUGGCGAAGGCGACUUGCUGGGCCGUAACUGACGCUGAGGCGCGAAAGCGUGGGGAGCGAACAGGAUUAGAAACCCUUGUAGUCC